AAUACAAGCAGGUAGACUCGGAGACCUGGGGGCACCUGGAUGUCCUGGGGCUGCAUGGAUAUCCAGGAAGUGCACAAAUGUAGGGGCUGAGGGAAGAGACCAGAAGGUGGCUUUCAGGUUUUUUAUUUUGCCACCCCACAUGUGAUGCUGCCUCUUUCCAAAAGGUAUAACUCAGGAGUGGUGGUGGGGUUGGAGAUGGAAGAUGGUGCCUUCUAGCUUGGACACGUCCAGUUCCAGCUGGGACAUGUGCAUGGGUCCCUGUCGAACAAUGAGUGGAGAUGCCCACUAAGGCCUGCUGAGCCCAUCCUGUAGUGAUGAUGAAUGACUGAUGGACAUAGACUCAGUGGCCCUGCUCCGGGACAUUUGAGUCUGGGGAAAGGAAGGCGUGUGGACUCCCCUCUCAUGGACUCCUCACUUCAAUCAAGAUGCCUUGAAGAAAGGUAAUUCGCCCAGAGUUGCAGUUCUUAAUUAAGAACUUAGGAUGUGGGGGAGCCUGGCUGGAUCAGCCUGAGUUCCUUGAUCUUGAUCUUGAGCUCAUGAGACCCCUGAGAUCUUGAUCUCAGGGCCAUGAGUUCAAGCCCCGCGUUGGGUGUAGAGAUUAGCAAAA
Canis lupus familiaris (dog) is the source of this 607-nucleotide long non-coding RNA. RefSeq lists it as uncharacterized. The transcript has 3 exons. NCBI's taxonomy places the organism in Eukaryota, Metazoa, Chordata, Mammalia, Carnivora, Canidae. The record is from RefSeq and is a predicted model, not a curated record.